RNAcentral lists this ribosomal RNA (484 nucleotides) under uncultured bacterium. Its description in RNAcentral is "partial 16S ribosomal RNA". It matches the Rfam family "Bacterial small subunit ribosomal RNA", at positions 30 to 507 of the family's 1533-position model. The record is from RNAcentral.
AUUGAACGCUGGCGGCAGGCCUAACACAUGCAAGUCGAGCGGAUGAAGGGAGCUUGCUCCUGGAUGCAGCGGCGGACGGGUGAGUAAUGCCUAGGAAUCUGCCUGAUAUUGGGGGAUAAGGUCCGGAAACGGGCGCUAAUACCGCAUACGUCCUGAGGGAGAAAGUGGGGGAUCUUCCGACCUCACGCUAUCAGAUGAGCCUAGGUUGGAAUAGCUAGUUGGUGGGGUAACGGCCUACCAAGGCGGCGAUCCGUAACUGGUCUGAGAGGAUGAUCAGUCACACUGGAAGUGAGACACGGUCCAGACUCCUAAGGGAGGAAGCAGUCGGGAAUAUUGGACAAUGGGCGAAAGCCGGAUACAGGCAUGCCGCGUGUGUGCUGAAGGUCCACGGCUGGGUAAGCAAUUUAAGUUGGGAGGAAGUACAGUACGUUUACCCCUUGCGGUAUUGACGGUACCAACAGAAUAAGCUCCGGCUAACUCCGUG